Molecule: non-coding RNA, 75 nt
Organism: Streptomyces roseus
Lineage: Bacteria; Bacillati; Actinomycetota; Actinomycetes; Kitasatosporales; Streptomycetaceae
Rfam family: ASpks TB sRNA
Source: Rfam
CUUGAACGAGCCGAGCCGCAGCGGGCGCUGGGCGGUGUGGUCCUGGCCGUACGUGGCGAGCAGGGCCUGCGCCUC